GCCCUCGUAGCUCAGUGGAUAGAGCAUCGGUCUCCUAAACCGUGUGCGCAGGUUCGACUCCUGCCGGGGGCACCA
Molecule: transfer RNA, 75 nt
Filed under: Acidimicrobiaceae bacterium
Lineage: Bacteria; Bacillati; Actinomycetota; Acidimicrobiia; Acidimicrobiales; Acidimicrobiaceae
Description: tRNA-Arg
Rfam family: tRNA
About the family: Transfer RNA (tRNA) molecules are approximately 80 nucleotides in length. Their secondary structure includes four short double-helical elements and three loops (D, anti-codon, and T loops). Further hydrogen bonds mediate the characteristic L-shaped molecular structure. tRNAs have two regions of fundamental functional importance: the anti-codon, which is responsible for specific mRNA codon recognition, and the 3' end, to which the tRNAs corresponding amino acid is attached (by aminoacyl-tRNA synthetases). tRNAs cope with the degeneracy of the genetic code in two manners: having more than one tRNA (with a specific anti-codon) for a particular amino acid; and 'wobble' base-pairing, i.e. permitting non-standard base-pairing at the 3rd anti-codon position.
Source: RNAcentral